Molecule: small nucleolar RNA, 135 nt
Organism: Echinops telfairi (small Madagascar hedgehog)
Lineage: Eukaryota; Metazoa; Chordata; Mammalia; Afrosoricida; Tenrecidae
Product: small nucleolar RNA SNORA9
Exons: 1
Source: RefSeq, a predicted model, not a curated record
CUGCAAACCUCCAGUGCAUCUGGGUCUGGAGCGACCGUGCGCAUUCCUACAGUGCUUGCACGAACAGUUUUGAAACAGCUUGGGGCCUUGCUCUGCACCAUCUCCAGAGUGAGGUUAUAGAAAUUCCACACAAAU